GGGAUUGUAGCUCAGGGGUAGAGCGCCUGCCUCACACACAGGAGGCCCUGAGUUCGAUCCUCAGCACCCA
Molecule: non-coding RNA, 70 nt
Organism: Ictidomys tridecemlineatus (thirteen-lined ground squirrel)
Lineage: Eukaryota; Metazoa; Chordata; Mammalia; Rodentia; Sciuridae
Source: Rfam